Ictalurus punctatus (channel catfish) is the source of this 1168-nucleotide long non-coding RNA. NCBI's taxonomy places the organism in Eukaryota, Metazoa, Chordata, Actinopteri, Siluriformes, Ictaluridae. The record is from Ensembl.
UUAAGAUGAAAAUGUAUUUAUAUUGUAACAUAUUUUCUUGAUGGAAUUUUUUUGAAUACUUUCAAUAAAAAAAAAUGUAAAAAAACAAAGCCUGAUCUCAUCUGACCUCGGAAGCAAAGUCGGGCCUGGUUAGUACUUGGUUGGGAGACUGACUGGGAAUACUAGGUGCUGUAAGCUUUUUAUUUGGAUCAGUGUUUUCAUGACCUCUGCACAACAUCCUCUAUGGGAAUUAAGAUUGGAUACAGGUUUGAAGGGGACCCAAUCAAUCAAUCAAUCAGUCAGUCAGUCAGUCUUUUGAUUACACUAUUUAAAUAGGCCCCAUUUGGGGUCAGCUUUCGCUUACGGCCAUACCACUCUGACAAAGCCUGAUCUCAUCUGACCUCGGAAGCAAAGCAGAGUUGGGCCUGGUUAGUACUUGGUUGGGAGACUGACUGGGAAUACUAGGUGCUGUAAGCUUUUAAUUUGGAUCAGUGUUUUCAUGACCUCUGCACAACCUCCUCUUUUGGGAUUAAGAUUGGAUACAGGUUUGAAGGGGACCCAAUCAAUCAAUCAAUCAAUCAUCAGUCAGUCAGUCAGUCUUUUGAUUACACUAUUUAAAUAGGCCCCAUUUGGGGUCAGCUUUCGCUUACGGCCAUACCACUCUGACAAAGCCUGAUCUCGUCUGACCUCGGAAGCAAAGCAGAGUUGGGCCUGGUUAGUACUUGGUUGGGAGACUGACUGGGAAUACUAGGUGCUGUAAGCUUUUAAUUUGGAUCAGUGUUUUCAUGACCUCUGCACAACAUCCUCUUUUGGGAUUAAGAUUGGAUACAGGUUUGAAGGGGACCCAAUCAAUCAAUCAAUCAAUCAGUCAGUCAGUCAGUCAGUCAGUCAGUCAGUCUGUCAGUCUGUCUGUCUGUCUGUCUUUUGAUUACACUAUUUAAAUAGGCCACGCCACGGGAGGCGACUUCGAGCCCUAACAAAAUCACUAGCCUCAAAACAGCCACACAGGCCCGCUUAAGCUUAGGGCCUGGCGCGUCUCCCGCAUUACACUGCGACGGGCUGGAAGACAGGCCUAACAGACACCACAUAGCGACAAAAAGAAAAUCUCAAUGGACACUGACGCCCCGGAGAAAAUUCCUCAUUAUCGGGGACUCCAAUCUGUCCAGAAUACCACCUUUUAAGAACCCCG